AGAGUUUGAUCMUGGCUCAGGAUGAACGCUAGCGGCAGGCCUAACACAUGCAAAGUCGCGGGGCAGCGCGGGUGCAGCAAUGCACUGGCGGCGACCGGCGCACGGGUGCGUAACGCGUAUGCAACCUGCCCAUCCCCGGGGGAUAGCCCGCCGAAAGGCGGAUUAAUACCCCAUGGACCCUUAGGCCCGCAUGGGCGGUAGGGUAAAGCUCCGGCGGGGAUGGAUGGGCAUGCGUGCCAUUAGCUGGACGGCGGGGUAACGGCCACCGUGGCUACGAUGGCUAGGGGGUCUGAGAGGAUGAUCCCCACACUGGUACUGAGACACGGACCAGACUCCUACGGGAGGCAGCAGUGAGGAAUAUUGGUCAAUGGGCGGAAGCCUGAACCAGCCAUGCCGCGUGCAGGACGACGGCCCUACGGGUUGUAAACUGCUUUUUCCCCGGGAAGAAUAAGGGCCCUGCGGGGGGGUCGAUGCCGGUACCGGGGGAAUAAGGAUCGGCUAACUCCGUGCCAGCAGCCGCGGUAAUA
RNAcentral lists this ribosomal RNA (527 nucleotides) under bacterium enrichment culture clone Cont268_3130. Its description in RNAcentral is "bacterial SSU rRNA". It matches the Rfam family "Bacterial small subunit ribosomal RNA", at positions 8 to 525 of the family's 1533-position model. The record is from RNAcentral.